This 2128-nucleotide unclassified non-coding RNA is filed under the name Hevea brasiliensis (rubber tree). Lineage: Eukaryota; Viridiplantae; Streptophyta; Magnoliopsida; Malpighiales; Euphorbiaceae. The record is from RNAcentral.
GCUUCAUCUAAAAAUCUUCUAUGGCCAAAAUAAAAAAGUAUAUACAACAUGGCAAAGAAAUACUGAAAAAGGCAUCUGAGAUUUGUGAAAUUGAAAAGAGAUUUAUUUCUUCUUAUCCUGUAAAGAUUUUUCCCAUCAAAAAGAUACUAGUCAGGUUAACUGAAACUUUUACACUUCAGUCACCAGUAGUCAUCACAUGAGCAUUUUCCAUUUUCAAACCGAUGAAACCUGUUAUUAUCUCUCACGAUUAUUACUCUUCCAGAGCACUGGGACAUAAACUUGAUUGCAGUGUGGCAAUCACCACAUAUCCGCAAAUUUUUCAUUACCCUAAUUGGCCUAUUGUCUCUGAAGGCAAUGAGCCCGAAUGCAACUGCCAGUCUUUCACUAUGGUACCUAAUUGUCAGCCUUUUCUCUUCACUAUCUACCUCUCGAAGUACAAAACUUGUGUCUGCUACAUAACCAGCUCUCUCCAUAUCUUCUUCCAAUUCCCCUAAUUUCUGAUGAAUUUCUUUGGUUCUCUCGUGAGACCUAUCCCCUGCAGCAAAGGUAUGAACCCUAUUACCUUCCUCAAUCCAACUCAAACCUGUCUCUUUUUUUACACCAUGAUCCCUAAGCAUCUUUCUGGCUCUGGCUGCAUCCUCGUAUCUUCCAGCAGCAGCAUAUGCAUUGGAUAACAGCACAUUCAUGCCUGAACUAACAGGCCCCAACUCAAAGAUUCUAUCAGCUGCAAAGGCUGCCAAUUCACUAUCCCCAUGGAGGCGGCACCCUGUAAGAAAAGCUCCCCACACAGAUUCUGUUGGCUCUAUGGGCAUUCCCUUAAUAGUUGCAAGUGCUUCCUGUAAUUUCCCAGCACGGCCAAGCAAGUCCACCAUAGAAGCAUAAUGCUGAGCCCCUGGCUCAAUCCCAUACUCCUUUAUAAGCCCAAAAUAGAACUUUCCUUUAUCAAUUAAUCCUGCAUGACUACAAGCAUAAAGCAAACAUAAAAAGGUAAUAAAAUUUGGUCUCAUCCUAACAAUUUUCAUUUUUUCAAACAAAUCAAAGACUUUCUCUGUAUGUGCAUGUUGAGCAGAAGAAAUCAACAUAGCAUUCCACAUCCCAAGAUUCUUAAUUGGGACCUCAUCAAAAACCCUAGAAGCUGCUUCAAUAACACCACAUCUUGAAUAUAAAGAAAUCAAAGAACUGCCCACAAAACUUGACGAAUCAUAACUUGUUUUGAAACACAAACCAUGCAUCUGCCUCCCUAGUUCAAGCAAUGUGGAAUUACCACAAACCCUAAUAACACUGGAAAAAGUAAAAUCAUUCACAUCCAAAUCCUCCAAUAAAGCUUCUUUGAAGAGUCUUAAAGCCUCCUCAUCUUCACCAAAUUGAGCAUACCCAUAAAUCAUCCCACUCCAAGAAACCACAUUCCUCUCUGGCAUUUGAUCAAACACUUUUCUCGCAUCCUUUAUCUCCCCACAUUUUGCGUACAUGUCAACCGUAGAACUCCCCACAAACACGUCAAAAUCAAGUCCAGUUUUAAUCACAAAACCAUGAACAGAUUUCCCAAUAUCACACCUACCCAAAAUUGCACAAGCUUUAGUAGCACUAGGGAAUAUACGGUCGUCAGGCCGGAUAUUAUCAACAAGCAUUCGACGAAAGUAUUCGAUGGCAAGACCAGGCAGCGCAUUUUGCGCUAAAGAGGAUAUUAAAGAGCUCCAGGUGGUGGAUGACUUCUGCUGAGCUUCCUCAAAAACUUGAAGGGAAAAAAGGGGCAACUCUGUCUUGGAAUAGAAGUUGAUGAGAUGGUGGGAGACUAGAGGGAUUGCUUGAAGGCCUGAUUUGAUGAUUUGGGCAUGAAGUUGAAGGCCAUUAAAAAGGGACCUUGAGUGGGUUUGAGAUAAAAGGAGGUCGCAAAUGUAUCUAUACUUUCCUUGAAAGGGUAACUGGUCUAGUUGAUUCUGUGGAGGCUUAUCGUUCUGUACAAGAGCAGAUUGGUUCAAGGGAUUUUGCAGGGGUUUUGGCUCUUGUUUGGGUUCAAUCAAAAUAUUCUGUAGGAGCUUGGAGAGAGUGGUGGGUGUCUCUAUAGUUCUCUUGGGGGCUUGGUGAAGCAUUACAGAGUGAAUUUUGCAGUUUAAAAUGGAGCAUCUCU